Molecule: long non-coding RNA, 2551 nt
Organism: Scophthalmus maximus (turbot)
Lineage: Eukaryota; Metazoa; Chordata; Actinopteri; Pleuronectiformes; Scophthalmidae
Exons: 5
Source: RefSeq, a predicted model, not a curated record
UGUCUCAUAACUCAGAAAUACUAUUACAUCUAAAGAACAGAACAGGGUGCAUAGUGGCAAGGCCAUUUUUACACAGAUGACAUCCUCCUCUAGCCCUUUAGUUGUCCUUCCAACCUCUCUAUAGAGUCAAUAUCAUAAACCGCUGCCUUUUAUCAGGAUGUGUCCCCAGCUACUUCAAACAAGCCAUUAUCCAACCCCUACUCAAGAAACCAAACCUGGACUCCUCCCAUCCAAAAAAACAUCUCUAAACUACCUUUCCUCUCCUAAAUUGUGGAAAGGGCCGUUGAAAAGCACCUGACUAAAGUAUGAGUCCGGCUUCUGCAAACUACAGUCCUCUGUAACAGCUCCUUAAAGUCUCAAAUUACAUUUUAAUGGCUGCAGAUGCUGGAUGUCAGUUUUGGUGUUAUUGGACCUUAACGCAGGAUUUGAUACAGUUGACCUGAUCCACAGGCUAAAUCAAAUGUCUAUUAUUUAUUUGACAAUACUGUUUUAUCCAUGCCUCCGUCGUUAUUCUUAGUAUUAUUAUGGUGACUCACCGAGCACUAACCAGGGUUAGUUUGGCUGAGAAUAUUUUCAUGUGUUUACCGAGUGUAGCAGAUUAACCAAUUUUUUUUAACCUUUUUACAAGUUUUUAAUCUUUUCAAUAGUCAGUUUUCUCUCCCUGUUUAUAUUGGUGGAAUCAGGUGGAAUAAAAAUAGCAGUCAAAUGUCGAUUGCUGAUUUUUUUAAUAGCUGAAGCCAAAUGUCGAAGAGACAAAAUGCAAAACAAAUUUUGCAUUUUUCACAGUUGAUGUUGAGACCUUGUGGAAGUGCAACAUUAAAGCCAGACUGAGGCUGGUGUUCUGCUUCCGCUCAGUUAAACUGUGUCAAAAAUGGUUAGAGUGUGGUGCUGAUGAUGCCAAAGUCAUGGUUCAACCUCCAUACUGGCCAGUAAUCUGCAUAAAAGGGUAUCCCAAUGCUUUUGUCAUAUGUUUUGUUGUUAUAAAAUAAUAUCACAUGAGAAAAAUAUUCCUCCAGUCCCUGUAAAAUCUCACGUCCCCAGACUUUUAAGUGCAAGGCCAAAGAAAAUCAUCUUGUCUAAAAACACAAUGCAAGAGGACUUGAAUUAUAUCACUGUUGUGGAAGGCUACCAGAGAAAUGAAUUUAUUUAACCUUCUAAUCAAUAAAUCUGCUUCCUGCCUCACAUCACCAAAUGGAGGGUGAUUAGACCCACCUUGCUGCAGUACAGUUUGGUGACCACUGGCCAGUAUGGGGGUUGAACCCAUGACCUUACCCAUACUAGUCUGAGGUGUUACUAGUCUGUGGAAACAGGAAGUUUCCUUUUAAUUCUAAUCUGAAUUUAAUAGGAAUGAUGUCUGAAAUAGGACAUUUUCAAAGGCUUUUAUUCUGAAAUCCCACAUCAGAACAUCCUGCAUUUGACUGAACGAAACUGGGAGGUGGUCUAUUAUUUGCUCAUUCUAGUGACUCUCCAUUCAUGAUACAAUGACAGGACGUCUGACGCAGCGCAGCCCGCGUGGAGGAGACCCCGGCACGCUUCCGACCCAUUACGGAGAAGGUGCAUGGCUCUUUUUCACUGUCAAUUUUGGCUGCGCCGAGUAACGCCCUGGACGGAUCUUCUGGACUGGGACCAGAUCCGUGGGGGCUCUGCAGUGACGGCGGUGAGGAGCAGUGUGCCUGGGCAGCAGUUUGACCGUGCAGCAGUGUUUUCUGCCGGGCUCCGUGUCCACAGCUCAGGUACACGCACUCUGGCAGAGAGCUGCCCGGGCACACUGCUCCUCAACACCGCAUGCGCGCUCCUGAAGGAGCAACCUGGAGAUCGGUCGUAUGAGCUGCUGUUGACGCCAUUUGAGCUUCCAGCGUGUAUUCGAUCACCUCUGGUGUUACGCGUGGCACAGGAACAACUCCCAAAUCUCUACACAGAACACACGUAUGGACACAAGAGUUCUUUGUUAAAUGUUGGCGCAGAGCCUCGACAACAGCUUCCGGUAAUACCUGGUGACGUCACGGCGCGCACGCACUAUAUAUCUGGCGGUUCAUCUGCGUUCACUGUCAGCGAGACGCCAACGAAGUGACUUUGUGAGAGACAUUCCAUGGAUCACUGAGUGGUUGUGGGAGAGAGUUGUUUUCUCGAGGACUCAGAGCUUUUCGAACGAUUCACUCUUCAUCUGGACGCGAGAAGAUACCUAAGCCGAGUCCUGUUAACCAACUGAAUUCAGUAAUGCAUGCAGUUUCUCAUGAAAUCUUGAGAGACCAUGGUGGGUGGAUGUCAGACCCUCUAGGGGGUUCCGGGGGCAUGGCCCCACCGGAAGAAAAUGUCUGACUCUGAGCGCCUCUGCUGCAGACGAGCAGUGAGAGCUGGCCACGUCCACUGCACCGGACAUGCUUCGACACAGAAAGUGACGCACAGAUCUGAUCUCUCCUCAGUAUGCUGGUAAAAAUGCAUAGCUGUCCAAUCUGCCAUUGCUACUACAGCGCUCUGCAAAAGCAUCUGAAGAAUCUCCAUCGUGUUGACAAUGGAGAAGAGAGGCGGAUUCUCCUGAACCUGGCAGCGG